RNAcentral lists this transfer RNA (70 nucleotides) under Cavia porcellus (domestic guinea pig). It matches the Rfam family "tRNA". From Rfam's summary of the family: Transfer RNA (tRNA) molecules are approximately 80 nucleotides in length. Their secondary structure includes four short double-helical elements and three loops (D, anti-codon, and T loops). Lineage: Eukaryota; Metazoa; Chordata; Mammalia; Rodentia; Caviidae. The record is from Rfam by way of RNAcentral.
GGAGAUAUAGCUCAAUGGUAGAGUGCUUGCCUAGCAUGCAUGAGACCUGGGUUUGAUACUCAUGACCCCC